Molecule: non-coding RNA, 151 nt
Organism: Parasutterella excrementihominis CAG:233
Lineage: Bacteria; Pseudomonadati; Pseudomonadota; Betaproteobacteria; Burkholderiales; Sutterellaceae
Source: Rfam
UGAAUCGCGAGGUUCCGACUGAAGGAAGCCCGAGGCAAACCAUAGACCUUGCGAACAGGAACGGUUUCAGGCAAUUGUCGUCGGGUAAGACUGCAAAACAAGUCGAAGCCCUGACAACUGACUUCCUCAAAGGCAGGGGAUGGUCGUGGUU